RNAcentral lists this ribosomal RNA (465 nucleotides) under uncultured bacterium. RNAcentral describes it as "partial 16S ribosomal RNA". It matches the Rfam family "Bacterial small subunit ribosomal RNA", at positions 338 to 795 of the family's 1533-position model. The record is from RNAcentral.
CCUACGGGAGGCAGCAGUGGGGAAUAUUGCGCAAUGGGCGACAGCCUGACGCAGCGACGCCGCGUGAGGGAUGAAGGUCUUCGGAUCGUAAACCUCUGUCAGCAGGGAAGAACGGUCACUGUGCUAAUCAGCAGUGAAUUGACGGUACCUGCAAAGGAAGCACCGGCUAACUCCGUGCCAGCAGCCACGGUCAUACGGAGGGUGCGUGCGUUAAUCGGAAUUACUGGGCGUAAAGCGCUCGUAGUCGGUAUGUCAAGUCAAGGGGGAAAUCCCCGCGCUCAACGUGGGAACUGCCUUUGAAACUGGCAAACUGGAGUGUGUGAGAGGAGAGUGGAAUUCCAGGUGUAGGAGUGAAAUCCGUAGAUAUCUGGAGGAACAUCAGUGGCGAAGGCGACUAUCUGGCACAUAACUGACGCUGAGGAGCGAAAGCGUGGGUAGCAAACAGGAUUAGAUACCCUAGUAGUC